RNAcentral lists this transfer RNA (72 nucleotides) under Umezawaea endophytica. RNAcentral's name for it is "tRNA-OTHER". Lineage: Bacteria; Bacillati; Actinomycetota; Actinomycetes; Pseudonocardiales; Pseudonocardiaceae. The record is from RNAcentral.
ACCUCUGUAGCCCUACGGGAGGGGCACCGGGUCCAGACCCGGCCGGAGCGCGUUCGACUCGCGCCGGAGGUG